RNAcentral lists this long non-coding RNA (24018 nucleotides) under Physcomitrium patens. RNAcentral describes it as "long non-coding RNA (PPAT_LNC008879)". Lineage: Eukaryota; Viridiplantae; Streptophyta; Bryopsida; Funariales; Funariaceae. The record is from RNAcentral.
CAGCCUGUCAAGCUAGAAAUUGGUCGGAUAGAUCCACCGACUGUCGUUGAGAAGUUGACUGCUUAAUUCCAUUUAAGUAGAGAUCCCACGAUGAUUGUACAUACACGCCUUGGCGAAGAGCCUAGGCAGAGAAAAUCGAUGUUUAGAGCAGUGGCUAGUCUUACAAAUCUUGAUCACCUUCGUUGAAUGGGUCAAGACUAACGAUACCAGGGUUUUGACUCGCAUGUCUCCUCUGGAAGGAUGAUUUACUGAUAGAGCCUCUCUCGGAGGUACAAACAAGAUGCGUGAGCUGCCUGCUUUUUCUUAGGUUUUUAAUGCGCUGCACAUUACCCCGAGGGGUUCACUAUACUAUUCUCAUUCUUAACUCGCCGAGGAGCCGUUGAUUGACUCCUUGUGCGGUAUAAAUCAUGCGAGCUGAUUUUCACGCUCUCAUACUGGUUACGCAAAUCCUUGGACACGUAGCACACUGUUUCUGCCAACAUUGUAGGUUGUCGUAGGUACAGACAACCUAGUUUGACACUAGAUACCCUAAACUAAUCGCUUUGUUUGUGGUGUCAAACUAGGGUAUCUAAUAGAAGCGAAUACAGUAUGACGAAUUGACAUGUAUAACCUGAUGUGUAACCUAGUUAAAGAACUGUAGAAAGUCGAUUAUGCAGGUACUGAUACUUGUGAGACUGGUGGAACCGUUGAUAGACGCAUGCAUUGCGAUCCGAAGCUAUGUGAAGGCAAGUAAGUAUCUGGCACUUGGUGGAUUGACUUUUUAGGGCAUAAAAAAAAGGAGAUUCUGCGCAAAGAUGGAUGUGAGAGGUGGUCAGAUUAGAUCAUCCAAUUGUUCCAAGUGAAAGAGAUCCUCAAUCAUACUUGUAGGUCCCUUGCAUUAUUUUAGUUAUUACAAUGUUACAGAUUCGUCCUCUUGACAAUGUUGCCUUCUUUCAUCACCAUGAGUACAUGGGAAGGAUCUAAAAGAGACGAGAAGUUGUCAAGCAAGGGAUUGGUCUUGAGAGCUACGAGGUCUGCAUAGGCCCCCUGAGCUACUAUCCCAAUGUCGCCCUCCAUGUUGAACAAUUUUGCACAGGUGGUAGUUGCCGACCGGAGCGCAUUAGCAGGACUUUGAACUCCACACCGUAAAGAAAACUCUUGUAACUGGUACUUAUGCAUGGAACCCAAUAGGUCAGAUCCGAAACAUAUGUUCACUCCUUCCUUAUCUGCUAAUGCUAGCGCUUCUAAUCCUUUGGCAAGGAGAUCACUAACCUGUACAGGCAGGACACAGGUUCAGUAUCACCAACAGGGAAAGACUAUUGGUCAAUCAGAAGGAUAAUAGACAGUUGUAGGGGUUGACCUUUUCAACUUGAUCCUGAGGCAUUCCAGAUUCCUCACCAAUUCGCUUUAUACAAUCGUAAGUCACUAAGGUGGGCACCAGAAAGAAAUUCCUCCGCUUCAUAAGAUCUAUGCACUCCAGGUCGAUAUGCUGUCAAACCCGCACAACCAGCAAACGCAAAUCCAAUACUCAGAAUGAGUGAUACAUGACGACACGUAGGUACGAGGGAAAAAGAAUUAGGGGUAAAAUGAAAGAUACAUUGCCGUGUUCAAUGGAGCGGACGCCCAACUCUAGGCAACGCUUGAUCGCAGGUGCAGUGUACGCAUGAGCACACACAUAUUUGCCCGCAUGACGAGCUUCCUCUACAAUGGCUGAUAUUUCGUCUGCGGAGAACUGCACCCGAGCACAUCGUUAGUCGUAAAAAAACAUUUACACAAAGGAGAUGAUAAGACCGUUUGGUGACAUUGAGCACGUUGGGAUGGAAGGAUAGAGUUUCAAGGACCUGGAGGUUAGUAAGGAAAUCAGUUGGUGAGGAAACUCCACCAGAUGCCAUAAUCUUGAUGUGGUGAGCACCUCUACGAAGCUCUUCCCGAGCGGCCAACCUAACUUGGUCAACCCCAUCACACACUCUUCCCAGGGAUAUCGGACAACAGCUGGGUACCCUGUCUUCUCCGCGGAGUCGCAUAUCGCCAUGCCCACCUGUUUGUGAAAGUGCGCCUCCACAAAACAAUAUGCGCGGUCCUGGGAUCGUCCCUUCCUCCACUGCCUAAUUCAGAUUUCAAUGCGUGAAGCAUUAGUGUGGAAAACCCAGCGUGUUAAACACGAACUGGAGCACUGGAGUCGUACACUGGUGUUGCCAAGAUAGAUGCAACGCACCUUCGCAAGUCCCCAGUCGCAGCCCCCUGCAUCCCGCACGGUGGUGAAACCACGCAUCAACAUGUCGCGAAGAAUGAUCGUAGUGCGUGCGGUCACCAGACUAGGUGGCAGUACGAGCAAGUCAUGCAGGUUGGCUGACACCGCGGUCACAUGGACAUGAGCAUCGCACAGCCCUGGUAUUAUGUAGCCUCCCUGGAUGUCUAUCGUCUUCGCCAUUGCGGUUCCAUCGACGCAGUUCGAGAAGAGAGUCAGGAUGCAGAACAAUCUGGUUGCAAUUUCAUACGCAACUAUGCACCCUACUUGCUACACUCAGUUCUGAGAAUAAUGUAAUGGAGAAACGCAAAGAUGUAUAACCAAGACAUUGCCGAGGCGGAGAAAAGUAGGUACGCACCUGAGAUACAGAGACGGGGGGAGGAGAGUGCCCGACGUAUGAAAUCCGUUUGCCUUGAACCAAGACGUGCACUCCCAUAGCCACUUGAGCCUCUUCAGCAUCAUCAUCGUGCAUACUAAUGACAUUGCAAUUGCGCAACAACAAUCCUCCGGCACCAGGGCUGUCCGCAGCAGACUGCUCGCUGAGCCCCAUUCCUGUCCAGUGAGGUGAAUGCUCGGUAGAAUGGAAUUGGGGUUGAAGCAAUUGAAGAAAACGAACCUGAGAAUUCGACGAUUUGUCCAGGUGCUCAAAUUUGCCACCUCAGUGGGCGUCAAUGUACUCCAGAGUUACAUCCCCGGCAUCUACCCCGAAUUUCAAAAAUCUGGGAAAUGGAGAAUUAUUCUGAAGGUUUAGUCCUGGAGAAAUGCUGCUCCACAGAUCAAUGAAGGGCAUUUUCACCAAAGCAAUCCGGGCUGAGUCGCGAAUUUGAAGAUUGCACAAUUUGCGAGUUCGUCAAGUUUAUCGUGUACUAGCCUUGCAUGCAGCUGACGAGCGUCGAGAAGUAAGUCGCCUGGAAGUGGCUCAAACGAGUGGGUUCUCUCACCGUAUUCAUUCCUUUUGGGAGGUUAACACCGGGAGUGCAAAAGACUUCAGGAUUGGAAUUGAGAAACAUCACUUGUGGAUUUGGCAUGGAAAUUACGUUGUAAAAACGAGUGGUAUUCAGUUGAUUGAGACCAAAGUAGCCGCUUCUACACUGCAUCCAUUUUUGUACUUUUUGAAUGUGGCCCCUAAUUUAAAUCACUUGGAUCCAGUUUUUACUCUUGGUUGAAUAGGAUUGCUUCAUUGGGUCUGUAUAGCUCCUUUCGUGUUGCACCUUUUAUUGUGGGUUGACAAGUGUCACAAACCUUCUCGGUGCCCCUCACAUUGCCCAUGAUUGUACUCCUGCAGCUUUGAUGCUUUAUCAAUCAGGAGCCAUUCAUUUUUGGUUAUUUUAGAGUAUGGUAGCUCUUGGUUUAAACCAGAUCAGUGUAAGGGAGUGCACCAAUGAAGCGGAAAUCGAAAAUGCAAUAAAAUUGUGUACUCAAAAUGUCUGUUCGUAAAACGUACUUAUUUCUCUGAUAUCGGAAAAUAUCCUUCAUCAGGAACGAGUGAAGCUUCCAACAUUCUUCUCUUGGUGUCCUUCGUCGACUUUCAGUUUUGUUCUUCCUUGAUUCUCAACUUACUCAACACUACUGUUGACAUGAUUUAGGUUGUUCUUGAGUUCCUAUGUGCUGUGACUUUCUUCUUCACUAAGUCUAUCUUCUGCCUUACAAACUGCCAAAUCAACUUCGAGAACUUUUUUGUGAUGUGAUGACUAAUAAGAAUGUGAGAAGCUUCCCAUCAGUUUGAUUAUCUCACCUCAGUGGAUCAGAUCAGUGUAAUCAGUUUUCAAUUCGUGUCGGGGUCUCGUCACACAAGUUGAUUGACCUUCGUAGUUCGCUGAUGCAUAACUCUCUGACUUGCAAAAUCAUCGUGGCAAAGAACCUUUGUUUGCAGCAACUCCACGAAGUAUAAGUGCUGCUUCACUGAAAAAGGAGCAUGCAAGUGUACAUAUAUGAAUGUCAACGCCUUCUGUGUAAUCUGCAUUUGAAGAAGAUGCUCAGCGAUGGAUAGAAUACAAUAAUCUCAAGAUCUCACAGGAAUCGACAUGAGUUCGACAGGUUUUUUGGAUCAGCAACCAUGACAGAGUUUCUCACAGUCGGCGACUGUGCGAGACUUGCCUACUCUCCAGCGAGUUUAUACAUAGUGGCUCAUAUCUAUUUCCAACUUGUCUUCAGCCAAAUGGUUCUGACCUCAGGGCGGGCAGAUACGCGUGCGCGUUCUGCUAUCUCAAGUUGUUAGAUCCUCAGCUAUGAAUGCGAAGAAUAGUACCGACCGCAAUCUGUCGGAAAGUAUAAAACCUGGGUUUCUAACAUUGUCUCGGAGGAAUGAACAGCUUUCGCAAGAUCUGCAAAGAGUGCGCAGUCACUGAAAUCGUGCCAGUGGCAGAAUCUGGACCGGUGCUGAAGUCAAAAUUACAAAUAUUGUGCAAUAUGAUAUUUGUAUAUCUUGUAGUUUCAAACAUGAUUACAUAUUUUCCUGCAUCAUGUCAAGCGCUCAAUUGCUACAAUUGAGUUGUCCUUUUGUAAAAUCAAGAGUUCCUAGCAUACAAACCGAAAUAUGUGAAACCUUUUGUUCCUCAAUGAAAUUUGUAAACUCUUACAAGUUUAAUGAAUCCUCCCAAAAAAUCAUAACAGCUUUAAAAUAAUAAUCUGAUUUCGGGCAACAAUCUGAUUUCGGGCAAGCUGCAGUUCUAGCGAAAUCCUAAAAUCGCGAGCGCACCACGGAAACAUGAUUUGUGGGGCCGCGGAGUUUUCGAGUGAACAACUCACUGGUUCAGCGCUGUUCACGCCUCAUACUAUGAAAGCCGGCGCUUGGACACCCUAAACCUAGACUGUAGCCGCCUUCAGUUCCAGACACCCCGAAGACACAGAAACCAUCACCACAGUAGUUUUGAGUUAUUUAGCGAGUCUAGAUCUCUCAAAAUUCUGCCCAGCAUUAGUGCUCCCACUACAAAUAAAAAAAUAGUAGUUAUUACCACGAGACCCCAAAAACAAUUGGAUUUUUUAAUAUUUAAAAGGCUGAGAAUUGACCUGUGAUUUUUGACUCAGAAUGGGCAGUGCUGGAUGUCUUCGCAUUGGCCCACAGGAUCCUGAUUACGUCACAAUAACAAGUUUGCCACUUUGACUAUUUACAGAUAUAUUCUUUGUAAAGUUCUGUGCAUGCUGAAUGUUGAGACAGAAGCAAUGAAUUCAACCGAUGUACAGUGAAACCCUCUACGCCCAAGAGAUGUUCAGUAAGCAGCCUCAUUUCUUCAAGAGUAUGUUCGGAUUCUUGCUACGAAGCGGUGAACGAGUCCAUGCUCGGGAAUUAAGGUGGUCUACCUAGAGUGCUCUUCUAUUUGCUCACACUGUGUCUGCUUGGAUAGAGUAUGUGGCUGACAAUGUACUAGUUAGUCCAACGGAAUGCAUGAUAGAGCGGUAUUAGCCCGUCAGGCGAGUCAAAGGCCAGCUAUAGGUCGCAUAUCAAGGCUCAUGGCAGGUAUCCAAAAAUGUUGGUGGUGAUAACCCUUAUCUAGAAGAGAGAGCACACUUCCUAGAUCCUGCUGAAGGUCGUAGAAGAUAGGAAAUGUGAAGUUUAAAGGUCAGGAUUUUGCCUACUCCACCAGAGUUAUUUACAUCACAAAUUAGCGACGACCUGAUAGCAGCUACAGUGAGAGUAAGCCGGGCUUUCGAUGCGGAUGCGUGAAGAGCGGAGACUUACUUAAAAUACUAUAUCAAGGCUUUUGUCAUUGUUCGAUAACAUCGAGAAAAGUAGAUCCCGGCGUUCAUUCCAAAGUCUCAGCGUAGAAUACUUGAAUAUCAAAUCUUUAGCAAGUGUCUUCUCAAACAUAUUUGACAAGGAUUUCCGCAGAGAUCGAGUUAGAUUUAAUACUGAAAUUCUAUUGAUAUCACAGUUAACACUUCAACAUCGUAACGUAACACGCAUUCGGCAAGUAUUAAGCACUCUCCGCCAUGGCCAUACAAAGAAACCGAAAGACGACCCAUAUAUGCUUUGAACUAAUUCUUUAAAAAUGUUAACAAUAAAUGUAGUAGGCUACAUUGUGGUGAGCAACUACACAUGAAAAACAACCCAAACGUCACAAACCUACAUCUCAUCCUAAAUAAUCUGCCGCCGAAAGAUAGAGAUGCCGCCGGAUUUGCUAUCGAAAAGCUUGUCCGCCAGACAAUGGAGUACAGAAUUCUAAGGUCCUCUACUGAUUAGCGAGUACCUCCAAGAUAAGAUCAGUAGCAUUGCCAACCGUCACGAUCUUGUCAGCAUUCUCCUGCUCAAGUUGAAUGUCGAACUUCUCCUCAAGGGCCAUCAUGAUCUCCACAGUGUCCAACGAGUCAGCACCGAGAUCAACAAACUUGGAGUCGGGAGUGAUGUCAGAUUUCUCGCAGUCCAGCUGCGAGGCAAUGAUCUUCUGAAUGAUAGUGAAGGUAUCCUCUCCGGCAGCAUCCGUCACGGGAGCGUCCUCUCCCUUUCCGGCAGCCUACGCAACAAAAAUAAAUACUAAUGAGAAACACCACAUUAAAAUACAAGCAAGGAACGGACUUUCACCAACAAGAAAGCAAAAAGGAAUGAACAAGAGGAUUCGGGACGCACAGCAUCGGCACGGAUGCAGGGCACCAUGCGGGAGUGGCUGGAAACGACGGCGAAGCGGGGGAAGGCGACAAUGGAAGACACGGCGCGGGUGGGGCGGAGGCCGGAGAAAGAGAAGCUCCUAGGCAAGGCCACGGAGGUAGCAGCAGCGGCGGCAACGGCAGCAAGGGAAGCCAUGGCGGCGGGUAUAGGAAGAAAGCGAAGAAGAGAAAAGAGUAAGAGAAUGAAGGGUGAGGGUUCGCGAGGAGUGGAGCGAGCAAAUGAGACCAGACUUGUGGCCACGCGAGCACAUAAAACCCCGACGCAGCGAUGUAGUCGAGGGCGGAGGAGAGGGGGGCCACUCAGGCACUGGAAGAGAUGCCCAAUCUGGCUGUACCGCGACAACCCCUGCCGCUCCGUUUGAUGCUCCGUUUCCUGCUCCGAUCGAGGUCAUGCACAGUAUCGUCGCGCACUGUUCUACGUAUCAUUGCGUCGCGUUGAGGGGCCCUAUCCUCUCACGUCGCGGAUCCAGCGUCUGUCCGUUGGGCAUCCGGGAACUUCGACCAUCCAGCCACAACCAUUCAUUCGUCUAUGCAUCCACAGGAUGUUGAUAUUUCAUUCAUCUAUUUAAAAGUCCCCGUGGCCUCUCGCGCUCCCUGGGGCUUUUGCAUUUUGGUGCUUAAGCAGAGUUGUGAUGGAUGAAAGGAUGGAAGGCUUUCUGCAAACUUUUGCUUUCUAUCCGUAUUUGUGUUUAACUUUUAUGAGAUAGGAUUGUUUCUUUUGCUGCCUCAUAACAGAAUUGUGAGUGUGUUUUUGUUCUCAAAGCUCACUCGGUAGAAUAAUACUUUUAUUUAGUCCUACUUGUGUCAGUAAUCCCACAUACGGUUAAGAUGACUUUUUGUAGUACAAAGUUAAUGGCUUCAAUGAAUUUGUCACAUACACCAUAUGUGCGCAUGUGUACAAUAUAUGGUUUAGUGCAAUUUGUGUAAGUAAUAAUUUGUUGUUGUUAUCAAUGAAUUUUAAUCUUGUUAAGAAAACAAGAUUUUUGGAGUAAGCAUAAUGAUAUGACAUCAAUUGAUGAACCUGCAGGGGUGUGAUUUUGGAACUAGAUAAUCUUAGGGCAGUUUGGUGGCACACAAUAUAUAUGAAAACCAAUGAAAAGGAUUAUAUAUAACUUGUGAUUAUUAAAUAGAAUGAUCACAUUUGUUUUUAAUACAAUUUAAAUCAUAGAAGGUAACAUGUUGAAAUAAUUUUUGCACUUAAAAAAUUAUUUAUUUUAGUUGUUAUAUAGCAUUGUUGUAUGUUUUUUUCUUAACUCGAGAGACCUUAGGAGUAAGCGGUUGUUUUUAUCAAAGGUAAUAAAAAAAAAUUCAAUGAUUGACUACAUUAUAAUUAAGUUUAUCAUACUUAUCAAUCUCAUUAGCAUAUGUAUAUGGACAAUUAUUGGUAACACUCAGAUUAUACUGAACUUCUUGGUUUAUUAUUAAAAAAUUGGUUGCUUAAAUAUAGAUCACUAUAUUAAAAAAUGUUAUCUUUGUUAAUAGUUAUGUUUUUUAUACAAAAUUAAUUAACAUGAUUGAAUAUAUAAUAUAAUUUAUUGCAAUCCAUAAACACGUGAUCUGAUUAAAUAAUGAUAAUGACAAUAAUAAUAAAAGCACAAUGAUAGAACUUAUAAUUACUUUAAAAUAGUAUAAUAAGCACUUAUAUAUAUAUAUAUAUAUAUGUAUGUAUAUAUUGAAAGAGAGACACACUUCUUGUAAAAAUUUUACACUAAACUCUUAUCAAAAUUAUUAAUUGUUAAUUAAUCAUCACAAUAAUAGUUUUAUUUAUUAUCUUAUAAUUAUUUUAGAAACAAGCUAAUUUAAAAAGAAACAUAAAUUUAUAGUUAUAAAUAUGAUUUUAAUACAGCAUUAUUAAUUGAUUUUCUAUCUCUUUAUAAGAAUCAAUAACAUAUACAAUAAAAUUACAUAAGUUCAAUUGCUUAAAAUACUAUAAGAUUAGUGAAUAGAUGAUAAUUCAUUUUAAUAUAAUUUAUAAGAUAUCAAAAUCUAUUUUAUUUGUUAGGGUGUCAGAAAAAAAACUGAAUCAAUUUAAUAAAUCAAAACUUUGUUUAAGCAAAAUCAAAAUUAAAAAAUAUAAAGGCCUUGUUUCAAUAACCAAAAUACUUGAAUUUAAAAGUGGUGGAAUUUGUAUGCAUUAUAUUUAAUAUUAGUACAAAUAAUAAUAAAAAGUAUUAUCGUUGCAUAAAAUUGAAGAUAUCUAUAUAUAUACAUAAAUUUAUGUAAAAGAUUGAAAAUAUUACAAAAAUCAUAAUUUCUCUGAUAACAUUAUGAAAAGAAAACAUAAUGAAUUGAUUAUACUGUGUGAUUUAAUUAUAGAAUGUUACAUUACAUAUUUUUAUUAUUGAUGAAAAAUACAAAUAUAAGUAGAAAAAAAAACAUUCCAUAAUAAAAUGCAAUGAAUAUAUAUAUAUAUAUAUAUAUAUAUACCUAAUUUUCUUUCUAUUCAAAAAAUGGGUUGAUGGAUUUAACUAUAUAUACAUGUAUAUAUUAGCAAUGAAAAUUGGAGAUAAGUUAAUGUAUUAAAAACAAAAAUAUUGAAUUUUUAUUUUAGAAUUAUUUUAUAAUGAUACAAACAGAAUAUUAAAUAGUACAACUAGUAAAAUAAUUUAAUUAAUAUUGCUGGUAUAUAAAAUUAAAGUGAAUUAGAAGGUACACGUAUAUAUAUAUAUAUAUAUAUAUAUAUAUAUAUAUAAGAAUAUUUUUUAAAUUAAAAAUCAAAAUCAGAUAAAAAAAUAAUAUUUGUUUUCACUCUAUUGAAUCAUCAGUAAGUAAGUAUAUAUAUAUAUAUAUAUAUAUUUGAAAUUCAAAUCUAACAUUCUGUACAUAUGGCAAAUUUAUGUUGUGAAGCUUUGCUAAAUUUUUAACAUUUAUUGAUUUUUUGUAAUUAUUUUAACAUAGAUAUAUUAUAAGUCCUGAACUUCUAAUCUAUUUCUAUUAUUAGAAUAUAGUCUUAUUACAGCUUUUUUUUUGAUAAAUUAUCAACCACAUUUAUAAAUGUAGUUGAAACAUUAAAUCUAUUUUUCUUUUCAAGGAUAAAAUUUAAUUGCCAACAUAAAAAUUUAAACCAUGUAAUUUUUUAGAAUAUAGUAAAUAAUAGUAAAUUAAAUUAUAAAAAGUGAAGAAAAAUAUUAAAAUUUUGAAAAAAUUUAAAUUUAAAUUUAAUGCUCUCAAUUCUCACAAGAAUUUAAUUUAGAUUCAUUAUUGAAUUACAGAGUGAAAAGGAAAUUCAACUAAUUUUGAUGACUUAAAAAGCUUUGAACAUGGAAGACAUGCUUGUAAUAUAUGUGUAGAGUAUCAAAAGAUCUUACACAUGUAUAUGUGUGUAAUUAAUAAACAUAUGCUCAUGUUAACAUUAUGUAAUAGAUGCAUAUAUUACUCACUUAAAUAGAAGUAAUUAUAAGCAGGUAGCAACAUAUAGGAAUGAUAGUAUCUUUCUUGAGAAGCUUUAAUGAUGUCUUGUAUAUCCAAAUUAAAUAUUUAACAUUUUACAAUGUACCAGGGGGGUAUUAAAACUUGUCUCAUAAGUUUCAUAUUUUUAGAAAGUUGUGUUGGGAGCAACCUACUUUAUGCAUAGAUUGUAAACAUCAAUCUAAAAUUUAAAAUUGUAAACAUCAAUUUAAUAUUUAAUCCUAUUUUGAUCACCAUUUUUUAAAGAAUCAUUAAGCAUAUAAUAGAUUCUUUUUAAAUAUAGUUUAAACUUGUUGAUUUCAAGUAAUAUCUUUAAUAUUCAAAUUUAAGUAAAAACUAUAUUGAUACAAGGUUGUAUUAUAUAAAUUCUUCUUUAAAAAGAUAUUAAAAAGUAGUUUUAGAAAGAUAAAUAUUCAUGGCACCAUAAUUAUCUUGCUAUUGAAAAAAAAAAAAAUAGAAACUAUAAUCUUAUUCAUAAUCUAAAAUUUUCAAAUAUUAUAAAUCCUAGAGUCUAUAAAUUCUUAAGAAAUCCUAACAAAUAUUAAAUUUUAAUGAAUAAAUUUUAAAAAUUAAAAAUUUAUAAUUGGAUUAUUACAUUUAUUAUAAAAUUUAGAUAGUAUUAUUUAUAUUUUAUAUUCAUCUAGUUGAAAACUUAAAUUUGAUUCAACUAAUAAACAAAUACAUGUUGGAAUUGAAUCUUUAUUGUUAUUAUUUGAUAUUUUACUUUUAACAUUAAAAAGACCUUCAAUCACCAAUUAUUUUAAUCUAGCCAUUGCUCUUUUUAAAACUUAACAUAUAACUUGGUCUUAUUUAUUUUAUUAAUAUCUUAAAUAAUGGUUUUGUUUGAUUUAUAUAUAUAUAUAUAUAUAUAUAUAUAUAUAGAUUUUCAAGAGUUGUUUAUUAAUUUUAAAUUAUUAAAUUAUUAAAUUAUUAAAUUUUCUUACAUGUAAUUAAAAAAGUUAUACAUAUUUUUAAAAUAUAAAAUAUUUAAAUAAUUUAGUAUUUUCUUAUACAUUUAUAUAAUUAAAAAUAAAUUAAAAAUAAAUAAAUCAUAAAAAUAUCAAUAUAUAUAUAUAUAUAUAAUAUCAUUUUAUUAUUGUCUUUAAAACUUUGGUUUUUAUUAUCUUUUUAAUGGUAUUUUCUAAUUUUUAAUUUAUUAGGUCUCACAAACUUAGAAUUAUUUUAAAGCCAAUUGUAUGACUACACCUCCCAAUCUUCUAAAACCUCCUUGUUUGCAAAAAAAAUUUGUUUUUGUCCUUUAGUAUUAGAUUUUACCUUGUCUUUCAAAUGGUCAUUUAAUAGAUAUUAGUUCUACCAAGUAUAUGGUGUAUUCAUUGGAAUCUAAUUCUAAUUGGGCAUAGUAGUAACUAUGUUAUUUUUUCACUACCUUUACUUGAUCUUAAUUUAUUUUAAAUUAUAUUAGAAUAUUUUUUAUUUUUAUUUUAAAUAAAAAAUAUAUAUUUGAACAAAAGCACAAUAAUUAAACUUAAUUUACUAGCUACUAUGAUUUAAGAAAAUAUAUGUAAAACUUAUAAUAAAUUCUCUUUAUGUUUUAUGAAAAAUUACUAACCAUUUUACUAAGUUUUUAUGCUAUUGUUAUAAAAACCUAUAUUAUUUAAGUAAAUAGAAGGAAGUAUAAGUAAGUAGAUAUGUAUUAGGUAUAUAAUAUCUUUAUAAAUUAAAUAAGAGAGAAUUUCUCAAAUAUGGAUUAAAUAUUUAGAGUUCUAUACAUAUGACAUGUGGCUAUUAAAACUUAUAUUGCAAGUUUCUUAUUAUAAGAAGUUAUUCAAAGCAACUUACAACUUGACCUUUGAACCAUAAGCUUUGUGGUUUUUAAAAACUUCUUUGCCACCUUUUUAUUAGCUAGUAUGUACAUAGAAGGAAGACUGAGGCUAUUCUUUAUCUUGUCAACACCUUUCUUAUAUUUAAGUCUUGGCUUGAGAUUCUUUGGUUUCUUUGUCAUUAAAAAUAACUAUUCUAGUUCUUUAUCUAUUUUAUAUUUAUUUCUUCUUUAUUUAUUUAAUUUUCUUUCAAUGUCACAAGAUUAUGUUGUCUUCUUAGGAUUAUUUUCAGAUUUAUAUCCUUGAAAAUUGCAAUAUAGCAACAAAUUCUAAAAUUGAUGGUUAUAUUGAAUAAUAAAUAAGAGAUUAAAAAUAGUGACUAAUCUUAGUAUUAAAAUGAUUUAAUAUAUAUUAAAAUUAUACUAUAGUAUUUUACUUAUAUGGAAGAAAUUAGAAAGAUACAAAAUCUUUAGAAACAAUAUGAAAUAAAAAUAAAAAAAUUUAGGAUUUAAUAAAGAAUAAAGACAAAUCAUAGUUAAAUAUGACAUUUGUGUUGUAGGGGCAUGAGUGAUUCUAAAACUAGAUGCAUCUAAAGGGAUAUUUUGUUAAAAUUCUUGGCUCUCUUUUUGUUUGUUCAAAAGAAUGUAUAUCAAGUCAAUCUUCAACAAAGUUUUAUUAAUUCUAAAACACAAUUCCUCAUUGGACAAAAAAGUCUUUGGAACAUUUAUAAUAAAAGUUCUUCUAUCUAAAACAUUAUGGUUAGGAUGUGUUUGUCUAUAUAUUCCAAUUUUGUUCUCAUAGAUCCAAAUAUGAUUCAAAGUGCAAUGAUAUUGCAAAAGAUAAAGAAAUAUUUGGAAUCUAAUUCUUUUAUAAAAAAUAAUCUAAUGCGGAUAAAAAUAGAAACGAGUAAAUGAUUGUGCAGCCAUAAUCAUAUCUCUGGCUAUUAUGCCUUAAUCAUAUUUUUACAAUUUUUUUACAAUUAGACUUCUAAACUUCAAGAGAAAUUAAUCAUAACAUCAAAUUCUGUUAAAUAUACGCAGACCAGCGUAUACAUCAUACGCUAUACACACAUACGUUUGUACACAGGAACAAUACAUAUAAUAUACACAACAAAAUACGAUCGACUAGGAGGGGGCGAGGGCGGCUCCGACGUGAUGCGAGAUGUGCAGCGAAUUUAAGCUUCUGAGUCGGCUUCUGGGGCGUCGUCGUCGACGAAAUCGCGUGGUUGAAGCACCUCGUGCUCCAGAGCGAGCAUUGUUACGCCUUCCGUAGCAGGAGACGGAAAAAGCAUUGCAAUUGGAGAGAGGGAGAGAGACGAGUUUCGUUGGUGGGGUAUCGUCAUCGUCGCGAAAGUCGCGGUGAUCGUGGAUUCGUCAGCUGCGAAAUGAGCAGACGAGGUGUUGUGAUCGCCAUCGUUGCUUCACCUCAACGGAAGAGGAAAGGCACUGACAGGUACUUGCCUUUUAUUCUUGCCGAUCGCGUCGUGCGGGUUUUCGUCAGUUGGAAACACCACGUGGGGCUCCGUUGUUGUCAUUCUGGGGACUUGGGCCUUUGUGUCCUGAUUGCGCAUCCUUUUGACUCUCCUGCUCUCUCUUAAUCUCUCUCCGUCUUCGCUGAGUUCCUCCUAUGUCACGCUGCGCGUCACCCCCCACCCUCCAUCCCUUUGUGUCGUCUGUCCCUUCCACUCCUCGCUUAGUUUCUCUUCCUCUCCACCCCGCUCUGAAUUCGCCACAUCUGCUCUUGUCAUGCGUGGUCUCCAAUUGCCUCUUGGAACUCAAUGUCUGCCGUAGGGUUCCCUGUUUAAAAUGUUGCCGAUGUAAAUCACGACACACUGUCGACGAGCGGCUCGCGUGUGCUGGGUUCUUGGAGAUCUUGUGGUGUCAGCUGCCUCUGUACCACGUGCUUUUUGUGGAUAUGGCAUUUAUUACCUUGUGAGGUUCGUGUGCAACCUCUGCCAUUUCGAGAGGUGCAAUGGGUGUUGUGUUAGAGCAAUUGCCAUUUUAUGGAUAGUUUCCCAAUGAUUACAAUGCUGUCAAUUACGCCCUCUUUUCCGAUGGUAACAUUGUCCUAUGUUCCUGGACCCUGCGGUGGGUUGCUAAGUGCAUAUAUUGUAUGCCAAUGACCAUCGGUGUUGGAUCGGAAGCUGUACAGCAGGACUUUGCCCUAAUUUGCUAUUUAUCUUCUCGAAGUUCUGUGGUCUUUUCGCGACGAGGGUUGGACAUCUUGCAGUAGACCAGUUCUACUCUAUUGCAGAGGCUGAAAUUGAGAUUUGCCCAUACGUUCCAUAGUGCACAAUUCGAGAUCCAGCAGAUGCGAUGAUUGUUUUCCCAACUGGCUCCUUUUGGGUCCUCUGGAAUCUAAAUGCAUCAGAUAGAUCUCUUGAAGUCCGUUCUUUCGCUGUGAACGAUGUGGGAAAGAGCAACCGCAAUUCAGUGUUGUGGCAAAUUUUGACUUUCGCAUGCAUUUGGGAAUGUAAUGAUCUCAUGAAUGUGAGGUAUUCUUGUAGAAGGAGCUGUAGGGUGAAUGCACAGAUAGGUUAUGAACAGUAGAAUUGUAAGCACGGUGGGAGAUUUGACAAUCUCAUUGAUCUCCUUUGAUUUUGCAGUUUGGUGUGCUGCUAAGGAUCUUUACGACUCCUUCCGUUGCAGAGAUAUAACCCUCAGGAGGUCUCAAUGCAGUUAGUGAGAGAUCCUCAUGCCUAUUCUCAAAUAGGAGCACCAGUCCGAAACCGGAUGUAGUCCAAUUGCAUUGUCGCCCGCACCAUGUCUUGGGUUACAGGCUGGAAGAGGCAGGUGGAUACGUUCCACCUGACUCUUGGCUACGGUGACCAGGUCCAAUCUCCCAAUCUGGAGUUGCUCAAGAAUAGCCAGCAUUUGAAGUCCGACAUCGGCAGCGACCUCCUCUCGUCUUGCAGAUAUCGGGUUGAGCUCGAUUGGUCAGCUGGCGACGAUGAAGAUCAAGUGGUUCUGAAGCUGCAGUCCCUAAUUAUGAUAACACUGCCGGCUCCUCAAGACGACAUCCAUGUGUCGUUUACACUCACGCCACCAACAAAUGAGGAAUCGGGAAAUCACGUCGAAAAUGAAACCUUCAAGAAUGUACAAAUUAAAAUGGAAGUACAGAAGCGGGGGGAGCUUCUCCGCGUUGUGUCACUGUCGAGGACAGUGGGUUCAGGACCAUCAGGAGAUGGACUGAGUGUGCUGACAAGGUUGGUCGCACCAGGAUCAUCAGUUGACCACGUUCCAAGAGCGACUGUUUCUGAGGAACUUUUGGGCUGCAGUCGGAACUAUCGAUCCAUUACCAUUCUCAAUCUCUCAAAUUGCUUCCUUACUGUAAGCUCCGGUGUGACUUUUUCAAUCCAUAGUGUUUGUAACGUUCCUUCGUUUAUCGCACGGUAAAUGCAUUACGUGGUCUGUACUUUCUGUGCCGUGUCAUCAAGACUUGCUUUCCAGGCGCUUCUUUGGGCUCCGAGUACGAUCCUGUAGCGUUAGCAUCACGAAUCCAAUAUUAGUUGUGAAUAUUACCAACAUUACCUGCGUCCUGGCUUGAAUCAGGCUUUGCAAGGUUUGAGUUGCUCAUGGCUAGAAUAUCUGCCGAGCUCUCCUUGCAUGUUGCUCAAAACGUUGUGGUUGUGAAUAUGCAGACCAUACCUUCAGACUUGAUGAAGCUGCCAUUGCUAGAAAAAUUAUACUUGGAUAACAAUAAACUCACACUAUUGCCUCCAGAAGUUGGACAGCUCACACGGUUGCAAGUGCUUCAAUGUGACCAUAAUGCACUUGUGUCUGUUCCAGGUAUUCUGCGAAGCCUCAACCCUCGCCGUAAUGGUAGAAUUACGUCUGUUUUCUUUUUCAGUAAUUUUGUCUGGUCUGUAAAUACGUCUUACAUGGUAAUGUGUUGCAGCCGAGCUUCGGCAAUGUAUCGAGUUGGUGGAGCUUUCACUCGAAUACAACAAGCUAGUUCGCCCUUUAUUAGAUUUCAGGUGAGCAUCUACGUGCUUUUGAACUCGAUUUGCUUAAAAAUCAUACCUGUGUUUGACCCAGUGUAUUGAGUUACCAUACUCAGAGGUAAGACUAGGCGGAAACUAGCCUGAAUUUUGAGUGGAGGUAACAUGUGUUAUUGUGUGAGUGAUCGGAGCCUACGUAAAGGCGAUGUGGCUUGGAACUGGUAUCAGGAAUUGCCAUCGAAGACUGUCACCAAGUGUGCAUGGUUUCCAAGUAUUCUCAGAGUUGUGGAGCUUCACGUAGGAUAACAGGGAUUCUGAUGGAGGGUCUAUUCUGGUGCCCUCAUUAUCAGGGCUAUGUCCAAGCUACGAGUAUUACGACUUUUUGGCAACCCUCUGGAGUUUUUACCAGAAAUAAUUCCUUGCGCAAACUUGCGUCAUCUGUCUCUUGCCAAUGUCCGCAUCGAGGGUGAUCAAGAUCUCUCUACCAUCAAAGUUGACAUUGAGGUGUGCUUUUGCAACUUUGGCUUGCGGUUGUCGUGGUGACCAAUCUUGUCAAGUUUGAAGUUGUGGACUUUACUAUUUAAAGUUGGUCCAAAAUUUAUGUUAUUGUUCGUUUCCUAAUCUAGUGACAAAUGAAGUCAUGACCGUAGCCAGAGGGGUGAGUUAACUGGAUUGCCAGUGCCCUGUUUGCUGUCGCCCUUCACCCGUAAUCGCGGCUUCAAAUUAUUUGGUCAUAGUGACCUAUUGAAGGAAACGAGGAGUAUAUGUAUCUAGAGUUGCAUAUAUGUAUAUAAGAAAAUUGAUGAGAUUGGUAGGGAUGAAAACCUCUUUUUUGAUUUUUUACCAAUCUCGAUGCAGGCUGAAGCAGCUUCGUAUUUUGUGGCAUCGAAACACAAAUUGAGUGUGUUUUUUGCUCUCAUAUUCCGGUUCUCAUCUUGCCAACAUCCGCUGCUAGCAUCUGCUUUGGCAAAGAUGGCGCAAGAUGAUAGCAAUCGGUCUGUCAUUGGCAAGGACGAGGGCGCUCUCCGUCAACUUCUUAGCAUGAUGCUUAGUGACGAUCCUCACGUGGUUGGUUAUGCUUCACCGAAGUUCAGUGUAUCAUUACAGUUUUGUUUAAAUGUAACAGCUUUUGUAGUAGUCAUUACAAACCUCUAUUGUUACAUUUUAGUCUACAUUCUUAUGCAUACAUUGUGCUAAGCAUGUGCUGGCGUCUCUCUUUGUGAAGGUGGACCAAGCGUGCGUAGCGUUGGCAUCGCUUGCUGUAGAUGGAGCAGUGGGAGUCCGCUUGAUGCGGGCAGAUUUGGUGCAAGCUAUUGAGAUGGUGUUACGGAACACAAGCAAUGAAGACGAAUUGCUUAUAUCUGUUUUGCAGGUCCUGAUGAAUUUGGCCUUUACUUCUGAUGCUGUUGCAUCUCGCGUCCUCACAAAGGAGAUACUCAAGCGACUUAAAAUAUUGUGUGUUCAUAGAAGUCCCGAGGUUUGUGCUAACCAUUCCAGAGUAGAAAUUUGUUCCACUCUUGAUGCGAUUGAUUCUUAUCACUAAAUGGUCAUUCAGUGUAUACGAACGUUAAUUGGAUAUUAGCUCUUCUCGGGUAUCUAUGAUAUUUGAACCUGUUGAAGCGUAUUGAGUCAUCACACACUGAGUGGCCCUGUGUUGCUUUAUGCUCAAGCAGGUGCAGCGACAUGCUCUUCUGACUGUAGGUAACCUAGCAUUUUGCUGGGAAAACCGACGUACCUUAGUUGCAUCUGAAAGUUUGAGAGACCUUCUAUUACGUCAAGCUUCUGGCACCAAUGCAAUAGUAUGUAAAGCUGCCGCUCGAGCAUUGGCCAUCCUUGGUAUGUUCCUCACAAUUGUGUGCACCAAACCAGCGUUGUUCUUAGCAUGCAUCAAAUCGCUUUUACUCUUAUUGAUCUUCUCUGUUUUUGCACAGUUGUUGAAAAUGCACAAGUGUCCUUCUGUUGAUGUUCAGCUCCUUUUUCGUUACCUGCAUGCUUAUAGCAGCUUUUAUGAAAUGAGUAUAUUGUUAUCCUGUUUAGUUCGAAUUUUGUUAAUUAUUGCUCUCUAAACGUCCUAGGAUCCUUUUGAGCGUUUACGAGGGUCAAGUGUAAGUUGUUCCGUUUGCAUGCAGGUGAAAAUGAGUACUUACGGCGAGCAGUGCGGGGCCGGCCCAUAUCCAAACGAGGGUUGCGGAUUUUAUCUAUGGACGGUGGGGGCAUGAGAGGAAUGGCCACUGUACAGAUGUUGAGGAAUAUUGAGAAGGGAACAGGUCGAAGAAUUCAUGAGAUUUUUGAUCUUAUCUGUGGCACAUCUACUGGUGGGAUGCUUGCUGUGGCUUUGGGUAUUAAGCGUAUGGACCUUGAUCAAUGCGAAAACAUUUACAAGUCGUUAGGUAAACAAUGUAGAUUUAAUUGUUUACUUAUUUAUUUUUGGGAGCUUUCUAUCUUCUCUUCAUUUUUCAUUUUCCUUUCAACUGAUUCUUGUUAAUCAUAUUAUGUAAUAGUUCUCCGGUUAACAAUUGUGAUCAAAACACUAAUGGUAGCUGUAAUUUCUAACCUAUUCAGUUUCCUCUACUUUGAUUAGGUUUUUGUCGUGUAGACCCUGUUGAGCUACAUCAGUUGUGAUAGCAUUGUUAAUGGCGGCUGCAGGUAAGUUGGUAUUUGCCGAGCCAAUUCCGAAAGAUAAUGAAGCAGCCACAUGGCGCGAAAAGAUUGACCAGGUCUACAAAAGCUCGUCACAGAAUUUCCGUGUCGUGGUUCAUGGCUCAAAGGUAGCUAACUUCAUAUGUAACUCGUACAGUAGCUAAAGAAGAUUAAUGUUUACGAUCAAUGUCUCACUCUUUAUUUACAUGUCUGCAGACUUCUUCACCGUGUUGUAUGUCUGCUCAUUCACUGAACCUUCUGAUUUCUGCUUCGUAAGUUGAGUUCAUUGUGGCUCUUCAACGUUCAAACGUGGUCGAGAGACAUUGAUGGGGCAUUCUUGUGGGCUUCAAAACAGCACAAUGCGGAGCAAUUUGAGCAUUUGCUGAAAGAGAUGUGCGCAGAUGAGGAGGGGGAUUUACUAAUUGAAUCAGCAGUGAAGGGCGUUCCAAAAGUCUUUGUUGUUUCUGCUCUUGUUAGUGUGACUCCUGCUCAGCCGUUUGUGUUCCGCAAUUACCAGGUAUAGGAUUUUGCCACAAAUAUUAUCUUCUCUUCUUUAACUGCCUUUUUAAUAUUUUUAUUAUUUGUAGUUUGGACGAUAAUAUCUGCUUCGUCUUCUUCCAGUUCUAGCUUUAUGUGCCCCGUAGUUGCUAUGAAAGAAUGAGUUCUCUUCAUAAUUGUGAUCGUGGGUGUAGUAUCCUCCAGGAACUCCUGAAACAGCACCCUCGACAAACGAUGGGCCGGCAGCCUCAGUUUCUGGCACUCCGGCCACCGCCACCCCAUUAACCACUCAAGUAGGACCACGAAGAAGUGCCUUCAUAGGUAGCUGUAAGCAUCGAAUAUGGGAAGCUAUUCGUGCAUCAUCUGCAGCUCCCUAUUACCUCGAUGACUUCUCACAAGGUAUAUUACCGUUCAUGAUAGCAGUACAAUACGUGUGUGAGCAUUGGUUUGGUUAGCUGUGGUUUUAGAACCGGAGGUUACUAAAUUUCAAAAUUCAUUAUUUUGGGUGCUGGCAGAGUCCAAUCGGUGGCAAGAUGGUGCAAUUGUUGCCAAUAAUCCAACCAUUAUUGCCUUACGUGAAGCGCAGCUUAUAUGGCCUGACACUCAAGUUGAUUGCCUCGUCUCUGUGGGCUGCGGUAAUGUGCCUACAAAGGUGUGUACUCUACUAAGCUUUCACGUCCAUGAAGAUCAUGUCUUUUUCUUAAUUAUUUAUCAUGUGAAAAUGUGAUUGGCUCUCUACUAUGUAAUCCAAAGUCAUUCGAUUUAAGUUUUGUAGUUUAGGUUCAAAGUUGGCACGUUAUAUUGGCCAUGUCUAAUGUUGUGCAUUUUUUGGUCAUCCUUGAACCAGCUUUUCCCUUUAAUUGACGUCAAACCUCAGUUUGAUAUAUGAUCAACGCUAUUUCAAGUUCACCAAUUUUAAAUUCGUUAAAUAAUACCUGUAGGCACGCGGCAAAGGAGGAUGGAGAUACCUGGACACUGGCCAGGUACUAAUUGAGAGUGCCUGCUCUGUUGAGAGGGCGGAAGAAGCUUUAGACACUCUUCUGCCCAUGCUUCCGAACCUUCAGUAUUUUCGCUUCAAUCCGAGUAAGAAAAUAUAAUUCAUUCAGUCUACUAUAACCAUUACAGUAAUAUACGGUUAAUUAUUUAAGGCAGAAAGUUAUUUUUGGUUCGAAGGUACUAAGCUUUUCAUGUGAAAUCGUGUACGAUCUUUGCACUAUACGUAAGUGGUUGUUUUGGCUCAAAGAGUAAUGUGAAUCAACCCUUGCCCUUGAAUAUCUGUGACAUGUCAUGCUUUCUUCUGAAUAUGCUCAUUAACACUGCAUGUCAAUCUACGCAUGACUGUCGCUCUGAACAUUCGUUUGGUGCAGUUGACGAUAGGUGUGACAUGGAGCUUGAUGAGACGGAUGCUGCUGUGUGGUCAAAGUUGGAAACCGCCACUCAGGAAUAUGUGGAUGCAAAUGCUGCCGUAUUCCAGGCUGCGUGUAAUGUACUUUCACCACCACCGCAAGCAGACGGUCUCUGGCAUGACAAAGCUCGCUCUACACGAGGGGGUACCAGAGGCUCACAGCUUGGAAAAGGUUUGUUGCUUUUUAAUUUAGAAUUAUGCUACUUUUUCUACUCAGUGUCAUAGUAUCAUAGUGUAACAGUAUACUUCUGACCUUGCAAGAUGCCACUUUGCCUUCAUUUCUUACUACAAGCAUCAUUUCGAAUGCAUCGGGAUGUCAUGAAAUCUUUUGUGAAAUUUCUUCUUAUAUAAUAUGCAACUCGUAAAUCUUUGUAACCUUUUCAAUAUUAACACUGAAAUCUAUCAUGGUUUUGUUGUGUGUUUGUAAUUUGAUUGCGUCAGUGAGUUUUCUGGGCUCUUCUAUCUUAGACUAGGGAUAUCUCAAGCAAUCUUUGUUGAAAUUCUGGCGUUUCACAAUUCUUCCUACAUACUUGACCUGCAUACUUGUUCUUGUGUGACUUGAACCUCACAAUUUUGCGCUCGGUUGCUGGCAGGAGAUGAAUCGGUAGUCGCCGGCAUUGGAUGGAGACGACGAAUUCUUCUUGUUGAAGGGUGUCGCAGCCCGGAGCUUGUCAAGCCGUGGCGACACGCCCGGAUCGUGGAGGCUUUUUGUGCACGUCAUGGUCUCAAACUAGAGUUGUUCAGUUACGAAAACCCACCUCCACCGAUCACUUCUCUACGAACCUCGAAUUCACCAUUUGCAUCACCUUUACUUGGUUCGAGAAGUCCUGGGUUGUACAGUUCAGAACCUGGACUAGAAAGCUUCAAAAAUCAUGAUGGAAUUCCUCCUCUAAGUCUUGAUCCUCACUUAAUGAAAGGGAUUCACUCGCUUCCUUCGUCGCCACCUUUAGGGUCUCGGCAACUUGCCCCACCUGUCAUGGCUCUCCAAGAAAAGCUGCAUGGCUCAAAUCAAGUGGGUGUUGUUCAUCUUGCACUUCACAGUGAUCAAAAUGGCAUGAUUUUAAGGUGGACCUCUUUUAUCCUUUUUAUCUGUACUUUACAAAUGCACUUUUCUCAUUUCUAGCACGUUUUCUGGCACUGUUUACUAUGGACAUUACUUAUGCAUCAACAUUGCAACUUCUUUUGUCUAGGCACAAUAAUAUAUUUCGAUUUAAAUUUCUGGUGCAUGUGGGGCUCUUUGUGUAUCUAUUACCUUCACGUAGCAUAAUGAUGAUGGUAAAGCGUCAAUUUUCAGAGAUUCAAUCUUUUAGGUAUGUGGCAUUAUUCGCAAUAUUUGAAUUUGACCCUUCCAAAUAUAAACAUUAAUUUCCUGUGUAGUUGGCGGAGUGACCUUUUGGCGGUAGCAGAACCAGGAGAAAACGCAACAGAGUUUCUGCAGAAUGUAAUUAAUAGCCUGCGGCUAGGAUUAGCAGGGAAGACGCGGGCGCAGCUGCCGCCAAUCUCGAAUCUAGCCGGUCUUGUCGCUGGCUUCCCAAGAUUUAGCGUCGGUGGAACCCUGUAUAGUUUCAUGGGGCGUCAUACGCAGGUUGGCUUCAUUCAAUUAUCUAUUCACAAAUGAAUUAGUGUGCAUCGACUUACACAGGGGAGCAUAAUAAUCAUGCUUCAGGGCAAGCUUUAUCAGCCUGUAUAACCAGCUCUGUAUGGCUCAUCACAUUUUACUGUUGGCUUUCAUAGACUAGGCUUUGAUUCCAGGCCAACUUGUUCCUACAAGUAUCUUUGUGAGCACUUCCCUAACGAGUUAAGACUUAAUUGGCAGGUUUUGGCAGAUGGUCAAGAGGUGGGCGCCUACAUAUUCCGCAGAAUACUUGCUUCUGUUCACCUUACUCCUGAUGAUGUGCGCUGGAUGGUGAGAUAAUAGUGAAAAUUCUGUCCAUUUCUGUAUUCUGAGAAUUUUUUUUUGUUUCUCUUUCAUGUUAAUUUGUAACGUAGCAUUGGCUAUUAAUUGGAGUAUCAUAAAACUGGACAACGAGUGGUAUAAAAGCGUUGAUGUAUACGGACUGACGUGCGGUUCCCGUAUACAGGUGGGUGGCUGGCGUGACCGCCUGGUCUUGUGCACUGGGAAGCAAGGGCCGCCAGAAACACUUGUCAAGGCUUUCUUGGAUGCAGGAGCAAAAGCAGUAGUUGUUCCUACAAUAAAGACGGAUAUGCAGGCUGCCGAAGGUGAUGUCCUGACACGAUCAGGGAGACCCAACACUCAGGAUGUGAAUGAUGCAGGUCGAUUUGUGAUUGCUGACGAUGAUGAUGAAGGGGAUUCAGAUGAAAGUAGUCCUGAGAGUGACUGGGAAGAUAGCGAUUUUGACAGGAAGGAGAAGCUAAUGGAACGGCAAGAGGCAGAAGAGAAGGAUCUGGCUGCUUUUGUCGGUGUUAUUUACGAUGCCCUCUUCCGUCAGGGCCUAGGGAUUGAGACUGCUCUUCAGCUCGCCAUGGAAGUUCAUCCCAAGCAGCACUACAAAUGCAUUAUGCCAACGACAUAGAAGAUGCUUCCACUUGCAAUGGUUGAACAUUCUCUUCUGGAUUUCUUUUGAUACAGCUACUAACGGACUAGUUUUUUUCUACGUGCAUCGAUUGAGUACCCUUGAGUGCAAGCAAGUUCAAUGUGGUUUGGUAGAUUCGACACAACCUGUUGCUAGUCCUUUUGAAUCGAGGGCAUUUAUACAGAAUAAUAAUGAGAAUAAAGAUGGUGUGGGGCGACUGAGCGAGUAUGUAUAUAUUCAGCGGACCAGAAGAUUAUUAGCACUAUUAGCACUGGUUAAUAAACUAUUUAUUUAUCCAUAAAUUCUAACUUUCAUUCUUAUCUGAUAUAAACGACUUGAUCUGAUUUUCUGGUCUCAAAAUUCAUAUUUACAUUUUUUAGCAGAUUUGUGGAGGUACUCACUGUAAUGGUACGGUGGUCUAAGAUACAGAAAAAUGACAAAAAUAUCUUGAAUGGAGUUGGAGCAACUUUGAUUGCUCGGUUCAAAACCUUCAGUUAAAUGAAUCUCGUCUCUUCUUUUUUGGCCUUAACAGUUGCAGUUUCAAGGGUAAUCUAGUUCCGGAAAGUAAUGAGGUUGCACAGGCUUUUUGUUUCUUUUCUGUUUCUUGAGGCCAGAUAUAAAUCUCAAUGCAGCAUAUAAUUGUCAACACCAACUCCAUCAAUCAGAAUCACAGUUUCUUCCCAAUGUAAUCUCAAACUUCGAAAUACUCAUGCAACUAUUUCAUCCCUUCUCUAAGUUUGAAAGUUGAUUUGCACAAGAGUUGUUCUGUCCCUGUCUAUGGCGCCGUGCUAGGGUGGGAGUCCAUGUUGGCAGGCUGAAAGCAAGCUAGUGAACUUAAUCAUCUGGGAUAGUGCUAAUAAUCCUCCGGUCCUAGCAUAGUACACACAAUUCUGAGCAGAUGUCUAUUACGUUUAUCUGCUUAAGUGUCAAUUGGCAUUGAAUUUUAGUCACACGUGUAUACAUUAAUUCUCACAUGCAAAUCC